CUCAGGCUUCCGGUCUGUUUGGUGCCCUGGUCGCGUGUCUUCCGAACUCUGCUGCUUCGCCCCGGCAAGAGCACUUCCUUCCGCGGCUGCUAAAACUGGUGCGCGGGUUCCCAACUUCGCAGAAGAGCUUCAUCGGCCCCCCGCUAGAGACCUCAGACCGCAGCCAUCGACGCCUCGCCUCGGGGAUCUGUCCCCACCCUCGGGGCCAGCUCACCAUGAGUCAGGCCCUGUGCUAGGUGCUGGGAUGAAGCAGUGACUGACACAGGCCUGGACCUGUCCUUGGGAAGAGUGCGUCUGUGACACAGAUACUGUGCCAUGUGGCAAAACUUGAAUGGAGACAUCAGCUCUUUGUGGGUCUCAAGUCUACUGGCUUUCAAUCAGCUCUUCUGCUUGACAGCUGCAGGUCUUGGGACUGCCCAGCCCCCAUAACCCUGUGAGUGCAUUCCUGAUAAUAACCCUCUUUCUCUUGUCCUCCCCCACCCCACAUCAUUGGUUCUGUUUCUCUGGAGAACCAUAAUACAUCAUUUACUAAUCAGGAAAUAGAUUCAGAGACAUUAAUAACUCAUCCAACCUCACAGUUAACUGUAGAGUUGGGCUUGAAAUUCCAAGGUCGAUUUUCUUAGCCAAUACACCAUGCUACAUAUAUGUAUGUAAAAAUAAAAACGCUUGUGAACUGAAAAG
RNAcentral lists this long non-coding RNA (681 nucleotides) under Homo sapiens (human). RNAcentral describes it as "non-protein coding MINCR:9". The record is from RNAcentral. Lineage: Eukaryota; Metazoa; Chordata; Mammalia; Primates; Hominidae.